This 497-nucleotide ribosomal RNA is filed under the name uncultured bacterium. Its description in RNAcentral is "partial 16S ribosomal RNA". It matches the Rfam family "Bacterial small subunit ribosomal RNA", at positions 28 to 507 of the family's 1533-position model. The record is from RNAcentral.
GAUGAACGCUGGCGGCGUGCCUAACACAUGCAAGUCGAGCGAACAGACGAGGAGCUCGCUCCUCUGACGUUAGCGGCGGACGGGCGGGUAACACGUGGAUAACCUACCUAUAAGACUGGGAUAACUUCGGGAAACCGGAUCUAAUACCGGAUAAUAUAUUGAACCGCAUGGUUCAAGAGUGAAAGACGGUUUUGCUGUCACUAAUAGAUGGAUCCGCGCCGCAUUAGCUAGUUGGUAAGGUAACGGCUUACCAAGGCAACGAUGCGUAGCCGACCUGAGAGGGUGAUCGGCCACACUGGAACUGAGACACGGUCCAGACUCCUACGGGAGGCAGCAGUGGGGAAUCUUCCGCAAUGGGCGAAAGCCUGACGGAGCAACGCCGCGUGGGUGAUGAAGGUCUUCGGAUCGUAAAGCUCUGUUAUUAGGGAAGAACAAAUGUGUAAGUAACUAUGCACGUCUUGACGGUACCUAAUCAGAAAGCCCCGGCUAACUACGUG